Molecule: non-coding RNA, 63 nt
Organism: Callithrix jacchus (white-tufted-ear marmoset)
Lineage: Eukaryota; Metazoa; Chordata; Mammalia; Primates; Cebidae
Source: Rfam
UAGUGUUAUAGCUCUUUUAGAAUUUGUCUAGCAGACUUUCUGGUUUUGGCCAGAAAUCUCCUU